This 717-nucleotide ribosomal RNA is filed under the name Arthrobacter sp. 8D5s. Its description in RNAcentral is "bacterial SSU rRNA". It matches the Rfam family "Bacterial small subunit ribosomal RNA", at positions 49 to 779 of the family's 1533-position model. Lineage: Bacteria; Bacillati; Actinomycetota; Actinomycetes; Micrococcales; Micrococcaceae. The record is from RNAcentral.
CUACCAUGCAGUCGAACGAUGACUUUUGUGCUUGCACAGAAUGAUUAGUGGCGAACGGGUGAGUAACACGUGAGUAACCUGCCCCUGACUCUGGGAUAAGCCUGGGAAACUGGGUCUAAUACUGGAUAUGCACCGUAGACCGCAUGGUUUUUGGUGGAAAGAAUUUUGGUCAGGGAUGGACUCGCGGCCUAUCAGCUUGUUGGUGAGGUAAUGGCUCACCAAGGCGACGACGGGUAGCCGGCCUGAGAGGGUGACCGGCCACACUGGGACUGAGACACGGCCCAGACUCCUACGGGAGGCAGCAGUGGGGAAUAUUGCACAAUGGGCGAAAGCCUGAUGCAGCGACGCCGCGUGAGGGAUGACGGCCUUCGGGUUGUAAACCUCUUUCAGUAGGGAAGAAGCGAAAGUGACGGUACCUGCAGAAGAAGCGCCGGCUAACUACGUGCCAGCAGCCGCGGUAAUACGUAGGGCGCAAGCGUUAUCCGGAAUUAUUGGGCGUAAAGAGCUCGUAGGCGGUUUGUCGCGUCUGCCGUGAAAGUCCGAGGCUCAACUUCGGAUCUGCGGUGGGUACGGGCAGACUAGAGUGAUGUAGGGGAGACUGGAAUUCCUGGUGUAGCGGUGAAAUGCGCAGAUAUCAGGAGGAACACCGAUGGCGAAGGCAGGUCUCUGGGCAUCUACUGACGCUGAGGAGCGAAAGCAUGGGGAGCGAACAGGAUU